AGUGAACGCUGGCGGUAGGCCUAACACAUGCAAGUCGAACGGCAGCACAGUAAGAGCUUGCUCUUACGGGUGGCGAGUGGCGGCCGGGUGAGGAAUACAUCGGAAUCUACUUUUUCAUGGGGGAUAACGUAGGGAAACUUACGCUAAUACCGCAUACGACCUACGGGUGAAAGCAGGGGAUCUUCGGACCUUGCGCGAUUGAAUGAGCCGAUGUCGGAUUAGCUAGUUGGCGGGGUAAAGGCCCACCAAGGCGACGAUCCGUAGCUGGUCUGAGAGGAUGAUCAGCCACACUGGAACUGAGACACGGUCCAGACUCCUACGGGAGGCAGCAGUGGGGAAUAUUGGACAAUGGGCGCAAGCCUGAUCCAGCCAUACCGCGUGGGUGAAGAAGGCCUUCGGGUUGUAAAGCCCUUUUGUUGGGAAAGAAAAGCAGCAGGUUAAUACCCCGCUGUUCUGACGGUACCCAAAGAAUAAGCACCGGCUAACUUCGUG
RNAcentral lists this ribosomal RNA (492 nucleotides) under uncultured bacterium. Its description in RNAcentral is "partial 16S ribosomal RNA". It matches the Rfam family "Bacterial small subunit ribosomal RNA", at positions 29 to 507 of the family's 1533-position model. The record is from RNAcentral.